This 372-nucleotide ribosomal RNA is filed under the name Pseudoalteromonas sp. N3mML14. RNAcentral's name for it is "bacterial SSU rRNA". It matches the Rfam family "Bacterial small subunit ribosomal RNA", at positions 74 to 452 of the family's 1533-position model. The record is from RNAcentral. Lineage: Bacteria; Pseudomonadati; Pseudomonadota; Gammaproteobacteria; Alteromonadales; Pseudoalteromonadaceae.
AGGUGCUUGCACCUCUGGCGUCGAGCGGCGGACGGGUGAGUAAUGCUUGGGAACAUGCCUUGAGGUGGGGGACAACCGUUGGAAACGACGGCUAAUACCGCAUAAUGUCUACGGACCAAAGGGGGCUUCGGCUCUCGCCUUUAGAUUGGCCCAAGUGGGAUUAGCUAGUUGGUGAGGUAAUGGCUCACCAAGGCGACGAUCCCUAGCUGGUUUGAGAGGAUGAUCAGCCACACUGGGACUGAGACACGGCCCAGACUCCUACGGGAGGCAGCAGUGGGGAAUAUUGCACAAUGGGCGCAAGCCUGAUGCAGCCAUGCCGCGUGUGUGAAGAAGGCCUUCGGGUUGUAAAGCACUUUCAGCAAGGAGGAAAGG